RNAcentral lists this ribosomal RNA (1415 nucleotides) under Salinicoccus sp. H-54. RNAcentral's name for it is "partial 16S ribosomal RNA". It matches the Rfam family "Bacterial small subunit ribosomal RNA". Lineage: Bacteria; Bacillati; Bacillota; Bacilli; Caryophanales; Staphylococcaceae. The record is from RNAcentral.
UGCAGUCGACGCGCGUACAGGAGCUUGCUCCUGUGACGCGAGUGGCGGACGGGUGAGUAACACGUAGGCAACCUGCCCAUCAGACCGGGAUAACCACGGGAAACCGUGGCUAAUACCGGAUAAUCCUUUUCUUCACAGGAAGGAAAGUUGAAAGGCGGCUUCGCUUGCCCCUGAUGAAGGGCCCGCCGCCCCAUUACCUAUUUGGGGGGGUAAGGCCCCCCCAAGGCAACAAUCCUUACCCAACCUGAAAGGUGGACCGCCCCCCCGGGAACUAAAACCCGGCCCAAACCCCUCCGGAAGGCACCAUUAGGAAACCUCCCCCAUGGAACCCAGUUCUAACGAACCACCCCCCCUGGAUUAAAAAAGGUUUCCGCCUCGUAAACUCCUGUUGCCAGGAAAAACCUUCCCCGGGAUUACCGGCCCGGGAAUUGCCGGUCCCGGACCAAAAACCCCCGGCUACUUCCUUGCCACCACCCCCGGUAUUCCUUAGGUGGCAGCCGUUUUCCGAAUUUUUGGGCCGUAAACCCCCCGUAGGCGGCCGGUUAAUUCUAAUGUGAAACCCCCCGGCUCACCCGGGAAGGGCCUUUGAAACCUGGCAAACUUAAUUGCAAAAAAGAAAAUGGAAUUUCCUGGUGUACCGUUGAAUUGCCCAAAAAUAUGGAGGAACACCAGUGGCGAAGGCGGCUCUCUGGUCUGCAACUGACGCUGAGGUGCGAAAGCGUGGGGAUCAAACAGGAUUAGAUACCCUGGUAGUCCACGCCGUAAACGAUGAGUGCUAAGUGUUAGGGGGUUUCCGCCCCUUAGUGCUGCAGCUAACGCAUUAAGCACUCCGCCUGGGGAGUACGGCCGCAAGGCUGAAACUCAAAGGAAUUGACGGGGACCCGCACAAGCGGUGGAGCAUGUGGUUUAAUUCGAAGCAACGCGAAGAACCUUACCAAAUCUUGACAUCCUCUGACCGCCCUGGAGACAGGGCUUCCCUUCGGGGCAGAGUGACAGGUGGUGCAUGGUUGUCGUCAGCUCGUGUCGUGAGAUGUUGGGUUAAGUCCCGCAACGAGCGCAACCCUUAUUACUAGUUGCCAGCAUUCGGUUGGGCACUCUAGUGAGACUGCCGGUGACAAACCGGAGGAAGGUGGGGAUGACGUCAAAUCAUCAUGCCCCUUAUGAUUUGGGCUACACACGUGCUACAAUGGGCAGGAACAAAGGGCAGCGAGACCGCGAGGUGGAGCGAAUCCCAUAAAACUGUUCCCAGUUCGGAUUGGAGUCUGCAACUCGACUCCAUGAAGCUGGAAUCGCUAGUAAUCGUGGAUCAGAAUGCCACGGUGAAUACGUUCCCGGGUCUUGUACACACCGCCCGUCACACCACGGAAGUCGGUAACACCUGAAGCCGGUGGGCCAACCCUUUUGGGAGGCAGCGU